GACGAACGCUGGCGGCGUGCCUAAUACAUGCAAGUAGAACGCACAGUUUAUACCGUAGCUUGCUACACCAUAAACUGUGAGUUGCGAACGGGUGAGUAACGCGUAGGUAACCUGCCUGGUAGCGGGGAUAACUAUUGGAAACGAUAGCUAAUACCGCAUAAUAUUAAUUAUUGCAUGAUAAUUGAUUGAAAGAUGCAAUUGCAUCACUACCAGAUGGACCUGCGUUGUAUUAGCUAGUAGGUGAGGUAACGGCUCACCUAGGCGACGAUACAUAGCCGACCUGAGAGGGUGAUCGGCCACACUGGGACUGAGACACGGCCCAGACUCCUACGGGAGGCAGCAGUAGGGAAUCUUCGGCAAGGGACGAAAGUCUGACCGAGCAACGCCGCGUGAGUGAAGAAGGUUUUCGGAUCGUAAAGCUCUGUUGUAAGAGAAGAACGGGUGUGAGAGUGGAAAGUUCACACUGUGACGGUAUCUUACCAGAAAGGGACGGCUAACUACGUG
This 504-nucleotide ribosomal RNA is filed under the name uncultured bacterium. Its description in RNAcentral is "partial 16S ribosomal RNA". It matches the Rfam family "Bacterial small subunit ribosomal RNA", at positions 28 to 507 of the family's 1533-position model. The record is from RNAcentral.